RNAcentral lists this ribosomal RNA (500 nucleotides) under uncultured bacterium. RNAcentral's name for it is "partial 16S ribosomal RNA". It matches the Rfam family "Bacterial small subunit ribosomal RNA", at positions 30 to 523 of the family's 1533-position model. The record is from RNAcentral.
AUUGAACGCUGACGGAAUGCUUUACACAUGCAAGUCGAACGGCAGCACGGACUUCGGUCUGGUGGCGAGUGGCGAACGGGUGGGUAAUGUAUCGGAACGUGCCCAGUCGUGGGGGAUAACGUAGUGAAAAUUACGCUAAUACCGCAUACGAUCUAUGGAUGAAAGCGGGGGAUCGCAAGACCUCGCGCGCUUGGAGCGGCCGAUAUCAGAUUAGGUAGUUGGUGGGGUAAAGGCCCACCAAGCCAACGAUCUGUAGCUGGUCUGAGAGGACGACCAGCCACACUGGAACUGAGACACGGUCCAGACUCCUACGGGAGGCAGCAGUGGGGAAUUUUGGACAAUGGGCGAAAGCCUGAUCCAGCCAUUCCGCGUGCAGGAUGAAGGACCUCGGGUUGUAAACUGCUUUUGUACAGAACGAAAAGGUUUCUACUAAUACUAGGAGCUCAUGACGGUACUGUAAGAAUAAGCACCGGCUAACUACGUGCCAGCCGCCGCAGUAA